GGUGGGUAGUUUGACUGGGGCGGUCUCCUCCUAAAGAGUAACGGAGGAGCACGAAGGUUGGCUAAUCCUGGUCGGACAUCAGGAGGUUAGUGCAAUGGCAUAAGCCAGCUUGACUGCGAGCGUGACGGCGCGAGCAGGUGCGAAAGCAGGUCAUAGUGAUCCGGUGGUUCUGAAUGGAAGGGCCAUCGCUCAACGGAUAAAAGGUACUCCGGGGAUAACAGGCUGAUACCGCCCAAGAGUUCAUAUCGACGGCGGUGUUUGGCACCUCGAUGUCGGCUCAUCACAUCCUGGGGCUGAAGUAGGUCCCAAGGGUAUGGCUGUUCGCCAUUUAAAGUGGUACGCGAGCUGGGUUUAGAACGUCGUGAGACAGUUCGGUCCCUAUCUGCCGUGGGCGCUGGAGAACUGAGGGGGGCUGCUCCUAGUACGAGAGGACCGGAGUGGACGCAUCACUGGUGUUCGGGUUGUCAUGCCAAUGGCACUGCCCGGUAGCUAAAUGCGGAAGAGAUAAGUGCUGAAAGCAUCUAAGCACGAAACUUGCCCCGAGAUGAGUUCUCCCUGAGACUUUAGGUCUCCUGAAGGAACGUUGAAGA
This 590-nucleotide ribosomal RNA is filed under the name Salmonella enterica subsp. enterica serovar Uganda. RNAcentral's name for it is "partial 23S ribosomal RNA". It matches the Rfam family "Bacterial large subunit ribosomal RNA", at positions 2260 to 2844 of the family's 2925-position model. The record is from RNAcentral. Lineage: Bacteria; Pseudomonadati; Pseudomonadota; Gammaproteobacteria; Enterobacterales; Enterobacteriaceae.